RNAcentral lists this ribosomal RNA (538 nucleotides) under soil fungal sp. DM246. RNAcentral's name for it is "eukaryotic LSU rRNA". It matches the Rfam family "Eukaryotic large subunit ribosomal RNA", at positions 102 to 655 of the family's 3401-position model. Lineage: Eukaryota; Fungi. The record is from RNAcentral.
CAAGAGCUCAAAUUUGAAAGCUGGCCCCUUCGGGGUCCGCAUUGUAAUUUGCAGAGGAUGCUUCGGGAGCGGCCCCCAUCUAAGUGCCCUGGAACGGGCCGUCAUAGAGGGUGAGAAUCCCGUCUGGGAUGGGGUGCCCGCGCCCGUGUGAAGCUCCUUCGACGAGUCGAGUUGUUUGGGAAUGCAGCUCUAAAUGGGUGGUAAAUUUCAUCUAAAGCUAAAUACUGGCCGGAGACCGAUAGCGCACAAGUAGAGUGAUCGAAAGAUGAAAAGCACUUUGAAAAGAGAGUUAAACAGCACGUGAAAUUGUUGAAAGGGAAGCGCUUGCGACCAGACUCGCUCGCGGGGUUCAGCCGGCCUUCGGGCCGGUGUACUUCCCCGCGGGCGGGCCAGCGUCGGUUUGGGCGGCCGGUCAAAGGCCCUCGGAAUGUAACGCCCCCCGGGGCGUCUUAUAGCCGAGGGUGCCAUGCGGCCAGCCCGGACCGAGGAACGCGCUUCGGCUCGGACGCUGGCAUAAUGGUCGUAAGCGACCCGUCUU